GGUCUCAAGCGUUGUUCGGAUCCAUUGGGCGUAAAGGGUGCGUAGGUGGCGCUGUAAGUCGGGUGUGAAAUUUCGGAGCUUAACUCCGAAACUGCAUUCGAUACUGCGGUGCUUGAGGACUGGAGAGGAGACUGGAAUUCAUGGUGUAGCAGUGAAAUGCGUAGAGAUCAUGAGGAAGACCAGUGGCGAAGGCGGGUCUCUGGACAGUUCCUGACACUGAGGCACGAAGGCCAGGGGAGCAAACGGG
RNAcentral lists this ribosomal RNA (247 nucleotides) under uncultured bacterium. RNAcentral's name for it is "partial 16S ribosomal RNA". It matches the Rfam family "Bacterial small subunit ribosomal RNA", at positions 530 to 776 of the family's 1533-position model. The record is from RNAcentral.